RNA transcript from Populus trichocarpa (black cottonwood), 844 nucleotides. It is a transcript of the gene named superoxide dismutase [Cu-Zn] 2, with no coding region annotated. The record is from RefSeq and is a predicted model, not a curated record. The transcript has 7 exons. NCBI's taxonomy places the organism in Eukaryota, Viridiplantae, Streptophyta, Magnoliopsida, Malpighiales, Salicaceae.
UGAGUUAAUAAUAAUAAUAGGUGCCUUGGAUGAUAUUUUUAUUUUAAAAACCUGAGAGAGAGCAGCAGCAAAGAUAAAAUGGCAACAGGGUCUGUGAAAGCGGUGGCUCUCAUCACCGGAGACUCUAAUGUUAGAGGCUCUCUUCAUUUCAUUCAAGAACCAAACGGGGCAACACAUGUGACAGGGAGGAUAGCUGGCUUAUCACCAGGCCUUCAUGGGUUUCAUAUUCAUGCUCUUGGUGAUACCACCAAUGGCUGCAAUUCCACUGGACCUCAUUUCAAUCCAUUAAAGAAGGACCAUGGAGCUCCAUGUGAUAAUGAACGUCAUGCUGGAGAUUUGGGGAACAUCAUUGCAGGCUCAGAUGGUGUUGCAGAAGUUUCGAUCACAGACUUUCAGAUACCACUGAGUGGGAUGCAUUCCAUAUUGGGGAGGGCUGUUGUUGUGCAUGCUGAUCCUGAUGAUCUUGGAAAAGGUAAAGGCUUCUAGAUUUGGCUGCAAAAUAUUUGCAUGUUACCUCAGAUACUAUCACUAGCUUCGCAGAAAACUAGGUGGACAUGAUCUUAGCAAGACAACUGGGAAUGCAGGUGCAAGGGUUGGAUGUGGCAUCAUUGGGCUCAAAUCAUCUGUUUAGGUUUGAUACUUAGUUGAUGGAUUUCUUCAUGCAAGAUGUUCUUUCGGUAAAGACAGAAACAACUAAAAGAAGGAUGUCAUUGUAAGUUUUGAAGGGUGAUCCAAUAUACUUGUUCGAAACUGUAAUCUCCUAAUAACAAAGUCUAUGUAAUAUCUUCGAAUAUGCAAUUUGUCAAUAUAUCAUAAUGGCUUGGAAAGCUUUCCCUGGACACAA